Molecule: non-coding RNA, 1839 nt
Organism: Arachis ipaensis
Lineage: Eukaryota; Viridiplantae; Streptophyta; Magnoliopsida; Fabales; Fabaceae
Source: RefSeq, a predicted model, not a curated record
AACCCCUUUUCUCUUUAAAGAACCCAGAAGGCCAGAACCCUAAAAGCUUUGAAGAACCCCAGUCCUCACCCCAGCACUCCGCGAAGAACUCCAGCCCUCCAAAGAACAUCGCCGGCGCUCGCGAUGCCUCCGUUGUCAAUCUCUCUUCCGGCACUCCCACCAUCGCUGCUUCUUCGGUGGUGAUUCUCUUUGGUGGUGACUCCCUCAUCGCAAGUCUCUCUGGUGGUGACUUUCUCCGAGAACGAUGAAGAUUCGAGCCCUAAAUUUAGGGAGCGAAGAGGGGUUCUCCACUUGUUCCGGAGCUCCUCUCACUCCUCGAUCCCAAGCCUUAGCUCUCACUCUUCUCUUGUCUUCAUUCUCACCGUUCCCAAUCACAUCUCCUUCGAUGACCUCAUUCGCUGGUGCGGGCCCUACCUCCACCAUCUCCAUCGCCUCCUCUUCAUCAGAUUUUGUAGUGUGAUUUUUUAGGGUAGGUAUAGGUGAAAUAAAGAAGAUGGCUUUUCCAGGAGCAAAUGAAUCCAUGUCAGGAGCCCUUUAUUUACAAAAAGGAGAAGAUAUUCAAUCUGAAAGGCAUAGCUUUGGGUAAUCCACUUGUAGAAUAUGCCACUGACUUCAAUUCAAGGGCUGAGUUUUUUUGGUCUCACGGAUUAAUAUCAGAUUCCCUUUUUACUUUAGUUUUUUUUACUUGAUUUUUUUUGUUCCUUUUUACUUGAGUUUUUUUCCCUUCCUAUAGCCAAACAGAAAGAAAAUGAGAGCAUCGAUGUGUGCGUAGAUGACAAAGUUAUAAAUUAUUUGAACGGAAGAGAUGUACAGCAGGUGCUCCAUGCCAAGCUCAUUGGAGUUCGGAAGUGAGAUGUCUGCAGCAAGUAAUCUUAUCAAACUUUGGAUGAACAAAGAAAAAAAAUAACAGUAAAAUAGAGAAUGAAAAUUGCACCAAAUUUAUUUUUCCUCUUUGUAUCUCUAUUGUUCUGCAAACAAGAAGUUCCACUUGUCUUUCUUUACUUCUUAUUUUGACUUUUUCCUUUCUAUAUGAGCCCUUUUUUUUAAUUUAUGUUUAUAUAUAUUUUUAUGUUUUUCUUUUGCUCAUGAUAAUUUUUCUUAGCUCUUGGUUUAUUAGAUACAUAGAUCUAGUGCAAUAGAUAGAAAUAGAAGCCAAUUGGGGUUGUUGUAAGGACUUUCAGGCCUGUGAGAUCAGCCACUUCCAACACCCCCUAACUCCCUCUUCCAUUCUUGUUCAUUUUUUUCUGUUUCCUUUUUUCCUCUUUCUUUCUCUCCCCUUCCAUUAUUAUUCUACUCUACUCCCUCUUUAAUUUUUCUCUUUCUUUCUUUCUUUCUCUUGUCGCCUUGUUGUAGGGUGUGUCUUCUUUCUUUCUUUAUUUUUCUUCCCCCCUUUGAAUUUUUAUCCUUUUUCAUGUUAUGGGGUUUUUUAUUUGUGCUCAGAAGGUUCUUGUGAUUAGUGCUCAGAAGGGCAAAGGAAUGCAGUUCCAAAGGUAAUUUUCUCCACAACUUGUCCUAUUGUUAAAGCACAUGUUAUAAUUUUUUGGUUAAUUGUGCAACCUUUUUAUGUUCCGGAUAGAAGUGGAAUACUCACUACACUUUGCGAUCACUCCUUUCAAUGCCCUUGUGUUUCAAAGUGGACAUACUUGUCUUGCCCGAUUUUGGAUGAAUACAACCGACUUCUAACAUCUCAGUUGGAAACUCAAAGACAAGUAAGUUGACACUGAUGCUCCUGAAACUCAUUCUUUGGGAUAUUUUAAUAACUAUGGAAAACAGUCUCUGCUUUGGAUGUAUGAACUAUAGACUAUAUUAUAUCAUCAAGGUUGACUGGAAACUACUUGU